This 3976-nucleotide small RNA is filed under the name Pongo abelii (Sumatran orangutan). RNAcentral's name for it is "retained intron". The record is from RNAcentral. Lineage: Eukaryota; Metazoa; Chordata; Mammalia; Primates; Hominidae.
UUGGAUAGUGCUUAUACAGAUUGGAAAAUGCAAGGCAAUAAUUUGCAAAUAAGAUCUGAUCUGCUGUCUCUAGAAUUAGUGUCCAGGGUUCUAUACUGGGAACUCGGGCUGCUGUGUUCAAGACUGGCAUUGAUAGGGGGAAGGAUUGGGCCAAGGACAAAUAAAAACUCUACGAGACUUUUCUACCAGUUUUCAUUUUUCUUUAUAUGUAUAUUUAUCUCUCUGUUAAUAGUAUGGGGUGCCAAAUAAAAUCCUUUAUUUGUUUUUGGAACGCUGCACUUUCUUGGUGAGAAGGUUUUCAGCAUUUUUUAGAUACUGUGAGUUCUAUUAGAUUUGGUAAUGUAAUUUUUGUUGACUACUAAAAAGUUUGUUUUAGUUACUUAGGAAGUAUUAUAAAUAUUCAUGGGAGAUGACAUUGAGUUCUUUCUAAGAAUAUGUGCAGUCUUUCCCCUUCUUUGUUUCCCCUUUGGCAUUACUCAAAAUGUUUAAAAUUUUUCCUUCGAGAUGGUGAAAUAUCUUUUAUCUGUCUGUUGUCAUACUUCACUACAUUUGAUCUAAAGGAAACUAGUUGCCAGCUUUCAAAUAUUCUCUGUAAGUAUAAUCACAUUGGAUGGGCUAAAUCCCCUAAAUAACAAGCUGCAACAAAACAUGAAAUGUUAUCUACCCAGAAAGCUCAUUAUAGACCCAAUGCCCAGAGUGUUUCUUUGUGGCUGUCUUAUCGUGUUUCUUGUUAUUCAUAACAGAAUUGCUGAACCUUGGUAAUUUAUAAGAAACAGUAUUUAAUUUUUACAUUUCUGGAGGCUGGGAAGUCCAAGAUUAAGGCUGGGCAUCUGGUAAGAACCUUCUUGCUGGUGGGGACUCUGCAGAGUCCCUAGGUGGCAUAGAGUAUCACAUGGUGAGGGAGCUGAGUGUCUAGCUCAGAUCUCUUUCUCUUCUCAGAAGGACAUGAGAUAGCUCAUUUAUUCGUUCACGCAUUAUGGAUUAAUCUAUUCAUGAGGUCCAAACCCUUAGGACUAAAUCACCUCUUAAACCCCACUUUUUUUUUUUUUAACUGCCACUUUGGAGAUUAACAUUCAUUGUGCAUUUUGGAGGGGACAGCCAUUCAAACCUAGCAGUGGCUGAUCAGGUGCACUCCCUCUGCUGAAUAUGUAACAAAAUUCCAAACUCUCAGAAGGAAGAUGGGGUUAAGGAAAUAACUAUUUUGUUUUGCAUAAACAAUUUAGGCACACUCCACCCCUAUUAUUAGUUACGCUCAUGGGACCCUCCCCUAAAUACAUUGUCUAGACACCAUGAAAAGCCCAACUUUGUGAAAAAGCAUUUGUAAGGACACGCAGUCUCAGCACUGCUAAUGGUAACUCCCUUUUGCACAAUAAGUAGUAGGACUUUAUCAUACCAAGGACUGCAGACCCACUGUGGAAAUAGACAUUAGGGGUGAUCCAACCUAUGUGAUUCACUCACUUAGUUCGCCAACAAGUGGCAUGUUUCCGUUCAACUGUUAAUUUACCAAACAUGUUUAACUGUAGCUUCAGAGUUACUGUAUAGGAGAAAGUGAGUGUAGACAGAGAAUAAGAGUGGGUUUACCAUGUCAUUGAAUAAAAUGGUUGGAAACCACAGCAUCAUGUGAAAUUUAUGAAGUGAGUAUAGAUUCUCAGUACUGUGAUUUUCACCCUUCCUCCUCUGUACAUGUGGGAUGGAUCAGGCCUCAGUGGCUUUAGAGGAUGUGGCUGUGAACUUCACCCGAGAAGAGUGGGCUUUGCUGGGUCCUUGUCAGAAGAAUCUCUACAAAGAUGUGAUGCAGGAAACCAUCAGGAACCUGGAUUGUGUAGGAAUGAAAUGGAAAGACCAGAACAUUGAAGAUCAAUACAGAUAUCCCAGGAAAAAUCUAAGAUGUCGUAUGUUAGAGAGAUUUGUUGAAAGUAAAGAUGGAAGUCAAUGUGGAGAAACAUCUAGGCAGAUUCAAGAUAGUAUUGUGACCAAGAACACUCUUCCUGGAGUAGGUCCAUGUGAAAGCAGUAUGAGUGGAGAAAUCGUCAUGGAUCAUUCAUCCCUUAAUUGUUACAUCAGAGUUGGUGCUGGGCACAAACCACAUGAGUAUCAUGAAUGUGGAGAGAAGCCAGAUACGCAUAAACAAUGUGGGAAAGCCUUCAGUUACCACAACUCUUUUCAAACACAUGAAAGGCUUCACACUGGAAAGAAACCAUAUGAUUGUAAAGAAUGUGGGAAGUCCUUCAGUUCUUUGGGAAACCUUCAAAGACACAUGGCAGUGCAGCGUGGAGAUGGACCUUAUAAAUGUAAGUUGUGUGGGAAAGCGUUUUUUUGGCCCAGUUUAUUACAUAUGCAUGAAAGAACGCACACGGGAGAGAAACCAUAUGAAUGUAAGCAGUGUUCUAAAGCCUUUUCUUUUUACAGUUCCUAUCUAAGACAUGAAAGAACACAUACUGGGGAGAAACCGUAUGAAUGUAAGCAGUGUUCUAAAGCCUUCCCUGAUUACAGUUCUUGUCUAAGACACGAAAGAACUCACACUGGAGAGAAACCCUAUACAUGUAAACAAUGUGGGAAAGCCUUCAGUGCUUCCACUUCCCUUCGAAGACACGAAACAACUCACACUGAAGAGAAACCCUAUGCAUGUCAGCAAUGUGGGAAAGCAUUUCAUCAUCUGGGAAGCUUUCAAAGACACAUGGUAACGCACACAAGAGAUGGACCUCAUAAAUGUAAGAUAUGUGGAAAAGGCUUUGAUUGUCCUAGUUCACUGCAGAGUCAUGAAAGAACUCACACUGGAGAGAAACUCUAUGAAUGCAAGCAGUGCGGGAAGGCAUUAUCUCAUAGCUCAAGCUUUCGAAGACACAUGACAAUGCACACUGGAGAUGGACCUCACAAAUGCAAGAUAUGUGGGAAAGCCUUUGUUUAUCCCAGUGUAUUUCAAAGACAUGAAAGGACUCACACUGCAGAGAAACCCUAUAAAUGUAAGCAAUGUGGCAAAGCCUACCGUAUUUCCAGUUCCCUUCGAAGGCAUGAAACAACUCAUACUGGAGAGAAACCCUAUAAAUGCAAAUGUGGGAAAGCCUUUAUUGAUUUCUACUCCUUUCAAAAUCACAAAACAACUCACGCUGGAGAGAAGCCAUAUGAGUGUAAGGAAUGUGGGAAAGCAUUCAGUUGUUUCCAAUACCUUUCUCAACAUAAAAGGACUCACACAGGAGAGAAACCUUAUGAGUGUAAAACAUGUAGGAAAGCCUUCAGUCAUUUUGGUAACUUAAAAGUACAUGAAAGGAUUCACUCUGGAGAGAAACCCUAUGAAUGUAAGGAAUGCAGGAAAGCAUUCUCUUGGCUCACUUGCCUUCUACGACAUGAAAGAAUUCACAUGAGAGAGAAAUCCUAUGAAUGUCAACAAUGUGGUAAAGCCUUCACUCAUUCCCGUUUUCUUCAAGGACAUGAAAAAACUCACACUGGAGAGAACCCAUAUGAAUGUAAGGAGUGUGGGAAAGCAUUUGCUUCUCUCAGUUCCUUGCACAGACAUAAAAAGACUCACUAGCAUUCUCUCUAAAUGUAUGGAAUGUGGGAAAGCAUUUAUUAAUUUUAUUUCAUUUCAGAAACUUGUAUGAAACACAUUGGAGAUAGACCCUGUGAAUGUAAGUACUUGGUAAAGCCUUAAGUAGUUUCAGUUUCUUUCCAGUACAGUCAUCCCUUGAUACCAGCUGGGUACUGGUUCCAGCACUCCAUGAGCCAUGUCAAGUCCUUUUUAUAAAAUGACAUGUUUGUAACCUACCCGCAUUCUCUUGUAUACUCUCAAUUAUGUCUAGAUUACUUAAAAUACCUCAUGCAUUGUAAAAGGUAUGCAAAUAGUUGUUCUAUUGUAUUGUUUAGGGAAUCAUGAUAAGGAAAAGCAUCUAUGUAUUUUCAGUAUAGAUGCAGUAAUUGUGAGCCUAUCAACAUAGUAUAUGUCAGCCGGAACAUUAAAGUUUCUUUGUUUCAGCUUUCA